This 390-nucleotide ribosomal RNA is filed under the name uncultured bacterium. Its description in RNAcentral is "bacterial SSU rRNA". It matches the Rfam family "Bacterial small subunit ribosomal RNA", at positions 28 to 419 of the family's 1533-position model. The record is from RNAcentral.
GACGAACGCUGGCGGCGUGCUUAACACAUGCAAGUCGAGCGGUAAGGCCCUUUCGGGGGUACACGAGCGGCGAACGGGUGAGUAACACGUGGGUGACCUGCCCUCAGCUCUGGGAUAAGCCUGGGAAACUGGGUCUAAUACUGGAUAUGACUCCACGGUGCAUGUCGUGGGGUGGAAAGCCUUGUGCGGCUGAGGAUGGGCCCGCGGCCUAUCAGCUUGUUGGUGGGGUGANGGCCUACCAGGGCGACGACGGGUAGCCGGCCUGAGAGGGCGACCGGCCACACUGGGACUGAGACACGGCCCAGACUCCUACGGGAGGCAGCAGUGGGGAAUCUUGCGCAAUGGGCGAAAGCCUGACGCAGCGACGCCGCGUGAGGGAUGACGGCCUGG